This 113-nucleotide non-coding RNA is filed under the name Halalkalibacterium halodurans. RNAcentral describes it as "Bacillus halodurans SAM-I sequence". It matches the Rfam family "SAM riboswitch aptamer (S box leader)". Rfam says of the family: The SAM riboswitch is found upstream of a number of genes which code for proteins involved in methionine or cysteine biosynthesis in Gram-positive bacteria. Lineage: Bacteria; Bacillati; Bacillota; Bacilli; Caryophanales; Bacillaceae. The record is from RNAcentral. RNAcentral also lists the same sequence under 1 other name.
CUCUUAUCCAGAGUUGGUGGAGGGACAGGCCCGAAGAAACCCCAGCAACCAACACCUGUUAAACAAAGGUGAAAAGGUGCUAACCUGCAAGGCGUUGCCUUGAAAGAUAAGAG